GGUCUUUACAAGCGACUCGUGGGCGUCAAUACUGGGCUGAGUUUGUGGCGCGCUUAGUGAUGGGAUGGCCCUGUGCAGGACGCCGACACGAAAAGAUGAAGAGUUCAAUCCGUGCUGUCUGAACUCACAGUGUAGCAGGCGAGAUAGACGGGAAGAUCGGUAGGGUGGGAGAUGCCGGAAAGGCUUCCCGUGAGACUGGAUAAGAAAUCAAAAAUCUGGUGAAAUUGCCGGCAAGAGGGAGUUAAGGACAUUCCAGGCAGAGGCAAGUUGGUCCUUGCUGGCUGAUCCAGCUUCCCCGUCAGCAUAUGGUGAGCAGUUCGGUGAGAGGACCACACUUCCAAUACUGGCAGUCCAGAUUCCUAAGAUGAGGACACAGCAUCCUGGGCCACUGUCACUAAUACAAAUUUGCCUCUGGAGGGACUCUACGGAAGAUAAUUCCCCUGAAAUUUGGAGAGUUGAAUUAAGCUAGGACUGAUUCUGGCUGGAAUUUGUGGUGGCUACGUACCCUAGAGGGCCUCAAGGAAACCCACGGUUCAAGACAGCCCUGACAGAUUCUGGAGUCUAGAACAGAAAUGGAUUUGAACAUGGGCAAGGCCAACCACCCAGUUCACGGCCUGUGUACAGCAAAGAUUACGUUACAGCCUGAGAGCUAAGCCUGGAAGCUCUUUCAUCCAUCCGUUUGUCCAUCUAUCCAUCCAUCUGCUCAUCCAUCCCUCCAUCUGCUCAACAAACGUUAGAGAAUCAAUCCUUGUGUCAGAUACUGGGGCUGCCCUCAAGGAGCUUUUAUAGAGUUCAGGGUACAGCCAGGUGGGGGAGACAGAUCACUAUAAAAACCUACCACUAUAAUCCAAAGGACAAGAGCAAAAAUAGUAAAGAGGAGAGAAGACCCAAAUUUGCCUGGUGGGUCAGAGAGGGCUUUCUAGAAGAGGUAAAAAAUCUUCGGGGCUAUCACUUCACCUUGCCUGGUGGAUAAAGGGAGGACUUUCCAGAUACAGUGGACAGAAUGUGCAGAGGCAGGAGCCAUGAGUGGCAGAGGCAGGGGAGGGACUGCAGAGACAGGUUGGAGCCAAAGCACGUGGCACUGGAGCCAUAGCCAAAGGAACAAACUGUGAGACCUGGGACUUGAAUUUGGAGGUGGUGAAAAGUGACAAGGUCUUCACAGAAGAGUGAUUUUUUCAACUUAGGGAAGGCUGACCCCAGACCAAUGCUGCCAAAGUGUGGUCUGUGGGCUGUUAGCAGUUCGUGACGAUGUAAGUACAGGAAUUGAGAUUAAGCAUUUAGAACACCUACAGCACUUUGAUAGUCAUUUUACUUUUUAAAUUUUGAGCUGGCAUUUUAUAUGCCUGGUUUUUUUUUGUUUUUGUUUUUUUAUUUUUUUUGAGACAGUCUCGCUCUGUCGCCCAGGCUGGAGUGCAGUGGCGCGAUCUCUGCUCACUGCAAGCUCCGCCUCCCGGGUUCACGCCAUUCUCCUGCCUCAUCCUCCCAAGUAGCUGGGACUGCAGGCGCCUGCCGCCUCGCCCAGCUAAUUUUUUGUAUUUUUAAUAGAGACGGGGUUUCACCAUGUUAGCCAGGAUGGUCUCAAUCUCCUGAUCUCGUGAUCUGCCCGCCUUGGCCUCCCAAAAUGCUGGGAUUACAGGUGUGAGCCACCACGCCCAGCCUUAUUCUCUUUUUCUAAUAGUUGCACUUUAUCAUAUUUUACAAAUGUGUGAGUCUGCUAUGGAUUAGAAAUUAAUAAGAGAUUUUGCCACAGAUAGUUUGAGAAGCCCAGCACUGCCACUCAACAAAUGCUGGUGCAUUCAGAUGGUGAAAUAUUCUGCAGCUAUUAAAGGAGUUAAAACUGCCUCCACUUACCUGGAGGCCCAUCUGUGACACCUUUUUAGGUUAAAAGGAAAAGAAAAACUUGCUUAGGACUGAAUAUGAGCGGUUGCAAUUUGUAACAAUGAUGUAUAUAUACAUAUACAUUUUCAUGUAUUUGUAUGAACAUAAAAGUAUUGAAGGAUAUUCAUCAAACUGCUAAAAGGGUUGCUUCAGAGUAACGGACUCGGAGAAGGCAGAUUAAUUUUCUCUUAAUGGAACUCUGUAUUGUAUCACUUGUAAAAAUAAGCAUGUGUUAUCUUUAUGAUAAAAAAGUAAAAACCUAAAAAAGAAAA
Homo sapiens (human) is the source of this 2150-nucleotide long non-coding RNA. Ensembl annotates it as CKMT2 antisense RNA 1. Its record names the gene CKMT2-AS1. NCBI's taxonomy places the organism in Eukaryota, Metazoa, Chordata, Mammalia, Primates, Hominidae. The record is from Ensembl.